AACGCAAAUUGCACUCUCUUCGGAGAGUAUGCCUGUUUGAGGGUCAGUAUUAAUAAAAAUCGGCGUGUUGCUCUUUUGUGACACACCGGAGUUUGGGUUAUCUUAUAACGAUACCUUUCGAGGUGUUUUAAGAGGCUUAAAAUUGACCUUUUUUGCGCAUUUUUAGACGUACAUAAAUUUUUUUAUUUCGUUUAUUCUAAUGCCAAAAUCUAUUAGAUGCGACCUUGUCGUGUGGUUCCGUGUCUAUAAAUUUUUUCAUGAUUUGACCUCAAAUCAGGUAGGAACACCCGCUGAACUUAA
Molecule: unclassified non-coding RNA, 300 nt
Filed under: uncultured Glomeraceae
Lineage: Eukaryota; Fungi; Glomeromycota; Glomeromycetes; Glomerales; Glomeraceae
Description: sequence contains ITS2
Source: RNAcentral